RNAcentral lists this ribosomal RNA (492 nucleotides) under uncultured bacterium. Its description in RNAcentral is "partial 16S ribosomal RNA". It matches the Rfam family "Bacterial small subunit ribosomal RNA", at positions 29 to 507 of the family's 1533-position model. The record is from RNAcentral.
AUUGAACGCUGGCGGCAUGCUUUACACAUGCAAGUCGAACGGUAACAGGCCUUCGGGUGCUGACGAGUGGCGAACGGGUGAGUAAUGCAUCGGAACGUACCCAGAGGUGGGGGAUAACGCAGCGAAAGCUGUGCUAAUACCGCAUGUGAUCUGAGGAUGAAAGCGGGGGACCGAGCAGCAAUGUUUGGCCUCGCGCCUUUGGAGCGGCCGAUGUCGGAUUAGCUAGUUGGUGGGGUAAAGGCCUACCAAGGCGACGAUCCGUAGCUGGUCUGAGAGGACGAACAGCCACACUGGGACUGAGACACGGCCCAGAAUCCUACGGGAGGCAGGAGUGGGGAAAUUUGGACAAUGGGCGCAAGCCUGAUCCAGCAAUGCCGCGUGCGGGAAGAAGGCCUUCGGGUUGUAAACCGCUUUUGGCAGGAACGAAACGGUGUCCGCUAAUACCGGGCGCUAAUGACGGUACCUGCAGAAUAAGCACCGGCUAACUACGUG